ACUUUCGGGGAUGGAGGGGAAGCCCAGGUACUCUCUGUGCUUCCUAACUGGCCGUGGAAGGGGAGGUGGAGACGGGAAGCGGCAGUCGGUUUCACUGCAGCGUCUGGGAUUCCUGCCCCGAGUUCUUCCUCAGAAACCGGCGGCGGCUGCGGACAGGGGCGGCUGGGCUGAGGGGCGGGAAGCCGCUGGCCAGCUUCACCCUCUCUCUGGGGCUCCUGCAGGGCAAGGGGAGCGGAUGUGAAGUUGUCCCUGUAGAUAUAAUUAACAGCAUUGUGGACAAGACCACAAGUUCAGAAGGAGCUUACAAAGGAGAAAUUCAUGCUGCAAAUGGUGACACUUAAGCCAAAAGCAAUAAAAUGCAUUCAUCUGGGACACUGUCGCCCUGGGGUUUAUGGCUUCCACAGGACAAUCCAAGUCUGGGCUUCAGACCUCGUCAUUCUGCCACACUGUGACCCCGAGGCAGGGCGCGCCAUAAACAGACCGGGAGGCUGCUCUGUGUGCCCUCGCUGCGGGCUGGCUGCUCUGGGAAGAACACGCAGCCCUCAACAGGGAAAUGCGAUAACUAUUCUGCUUCUUGGAAUGAUUUGCAGAUUCAUGCAUUCAAACAUUCUUCAGAUGCUGACUGGUGGUAUAUGUCACCACGUUCCCGGUGGGAUGCGACCUGGUGGUGGAAAACAGACAGCUCACUUAAACGCCAGUUCGGCCACUUACUAACCGUGUGACCUUGGGAAACUUACUUAACUUCUCUGAGCCGAAGUUUACUCACAGGUAAACCAGAGCUCCAUUGCAAUAUCCACUCAUUUGAUGUUUGUAGAAAUGAACAGCAUCAUUCCUUCUCUGACACCCAGGUAACUCGAAAACAGCAGGUGUGUAAUAAACGAUCAGAGAGUUUGAGCAGAGAGUGAAGGAUGCCCCGGGUAGAGAAGCCAAGGAGGUGCUGGUGGACGUGGUGUGUACGUCUGUCAGAGAGGCUGGGCCAUUAUACAUACCUGCCUCCUCUUCAGACACCAGCCACAAGUGGGAUCCCCAUGCCACCUGCCCAUCUAACCAACUGGCUACAAAACCAAGGGGGUUCCUGUGACCCACUUAGGUUUGGUAAUUCCCUAGGACAACUCACAGAACUCAGAAACACUAUACUUACGAUUAUCAUUUCAUUGUAAAGGACACACAUCAGGACCAGCCAGAGGAAGAGACACACAGGGUGAGGUCUGGGAGGGUUCUGAACAUGGAGCUUCUGUGCCCUCUCACCAGAGACUCUGGAUGGGUCACCUCCCAGCAUGUUGGUGUGUUCACCAACCAGGAAGCUCCACUGAGCCUCAGUGUGCAGGGUUUUU
RNAcentral lists this long non-coding RNA (1334 nucleotides) under Equus asinus (donkey). RNAcentral describes it as "lncRNA (ENSEASG00005030956.1)". The record is from RNAcentral. Lineage: Eukaryota; Metazoa; Chordata; Mammalia; Perissodactyla; Equidae.